Molecule: long non-coding RNA, 8339 nt
Filed under: Prunus persica (peach)
Lineage: Eukaryota; Viridiplantae; Streptophyta; Magnoliopsida; Rosales; Rosaceae
Description: long non-coding RNA (PPER_LNC001976)
Source: RNAcentral
UAUCAAUAAAGAUCUUCAAACACUGUACUCUUUUUCCUUCGUCCAGGUUUUUAUCCCACUGGGUUUUUCCUGGCAAGGUUUUAACGAGGCAGUGUCGCACGCGCGUCAAUAUACAUAGAAUUUAAUAUUACACAUGAUUAUGUACUCUUUUUCCCUUUGACCAGUUUUUGUCACACUGGGUUUUUACUGGCAAGGUUUUUAACGAGACAUAUUCUGUAUCAUUUGUGGUCUCCAAGGGGGAGUGUUGUAAAUGUGGAGCCCAAAUGCCUAUAAAUAGGGCUUCUCCAUUUGUAACAAAACACACAAUAAGAAGAGAAAAACUUCUCUCUCUCUCUCCAUCUAAAUUCUCUGUCAAUUCCCUCUCCAAUUCCUCUUGAUUUAUAACAAGUUGUAUAUUUUUUUUGGCCUAUUGAGUAAACUAUUGCGUACAAAAGUACUAAAUUGAAAUGAGUGGUUUUUUCCCAUAAAUGUAGUAUAAUUUUACUAUUAUAUUCACAUUAAAAUACAAUUUUGACAAGUAUUGAUUUGUGGUGAGGGGUCCAUAGGCUUAAGUAUAGCAAUUUUUCUUUGCAUUUGUUACCACAUCCAAUAUAUACAUUCAAAAGGGUUAAAUAAAUUGGAGGGGCCAAGGCCAUCCCAGGCCUUAGUACAGCUCCGCCCCUGUGUCCAGAGAUUAAGGUACGGGCUCCAUUUGCUUCUGUGGCUAUUUCUCCGGAACAUGUUGCACAGGCGAUGAGUUUUUCUCAAAUACUUCUUUCUGACUUCGUUCUCUUCUCUGUAUAGUUUUGCUGGAUAUAAUUCAGUAGAAAUGCUAGCUUUAUAUUGGCCCCUUUUUUUUUCUUCUCAUUUCCUGGAAAUAUAAAUCUCGUGCAAGCUUUACUGGUCCUUUUCUCUCCUUUCCCUUCUUUUUGUUUAAUUAAGCAUAUACAGAAUCAAGAUAUUCAUGUGGUAAAAACUACAAGAGUUCUUUUGUUUACCUUGUAAAGAGAGUAAGUGGGUGUCCAAUUUGAACCAAAAAAAUUUCAUUUCCCUGUUUCACAUAAAAUUGAAAAACUGAAAUUAAUUACCAAACAACUUUUUUCAGUUAUUUUUUUUAAAAUUGAAAAUAAAAAACUGAUGGUUAUCAAACGAACCCUUAAUAUUUUCGUUUCGUCUUGUUUGAGUGGGAUCCCUUUACAUAUUUUAUUGGUUUGUUUUGUAAUUCUUUGUCAUAGGGUUCAGGGAUUAUGAUUAUGAUUUCAUCUUUUCCAGUUAAGGGAUUAUGAUUUCGAAACUUGAUGCUUACCUUUAUUUAUUUUUUAUGUUGAGUCUGAAAAAAGAAAAUGAUUUGGUUGUAAAUUUGUGAAUAAUAGGAUGGUAUGAAAAAAGCUCAAAAAAAAAUUAGAACCCGUUUGAUGACUAUUUCGGUAUUUUAUUUUUAGUUUCUAUUUUUCAAUUCAAAGAAAUUGAAAGCAUAAAACUUCUUUGGUUAUUAAUUUUAAGGCCUCGUUUGAUAACCAUUUUAUUUUAUUUUCUGUUUUUUUAUUAUUAUUAAAGAAAAACAGAAAACAUAUUUGAUAAAACUUUUCAUUGUCAGAUUUCAAAGUUACCCUUUCUAAUUCUCAUGAAUCAAACAUUUUCAAAUAAUCCAUUCUCUAAAACAAACAGUGCUUAAUAAGUAUUGACAUCUGAAUCAAUACUUGAUGAACUAUCUAAGACAACAUGCAAACUACGUUCAUUAGAUAUAUGCUUUUGACCUCAUUAUUCUUGUAGUGACCUACAAUUAGAAUAGUACACUACAAUUAGAAUAGUAUAUUAUCAUUUUGCAUGUCGAAACGGUUUUCGAUUUAUCUAAUUUUUUGUAAGGAUGAUUUAUGAAUGAAGACCUAAAAAAUAGAGAGUUUGGAUCAUUGAAAAAAAUAUUCGUAGAGUACCUUAAAGGGUGUCCCUUAAAUAAAAUUAUUUGAAGGAUCCUCAAUAUAUAUAUAUGUACAUGAUGAGUAGUAUAUAUAUUAUAACAUAAUCAAAGCCAAUUGUUAGAUUUCCUUCAUGAUUAUAACACAUUAUAUAAUAAUUCAUGUUUCUUCAAUAGAUUCUACAAAGGGCCACUUGUUAGAUUUGUAGGCUCACUCCGCAUUGUAUUUCAUUAAUCUAAAUUCUACAUUCUAGAUAAUCAUUCAAAAAUCAUAUCUACAAAAAAUCACUUGAAUCCGAUAUUGUUUGACCACUCAAUUGUGUUAUUGAAAUUUUAGUACUUUCUUGAAGCACUGUGUUCUUUGAUUUUGUAGGAUACAAUUGGAUGUCGAAACGGUUUCCGAUUUAUCUAAUUUUUUGUAAAGAUGACGAGUAGUGUAUAUUCUUUUAAAAACAACAUAAAAAUAGUGGUAUGUUGUAAAAUAAAGAAGGUGGAGUCCAAAAUGAUGCUUACCUAUAAAGCUUCCCCCCCACUUGUAUUGGUAGGGAGAAGGUGGAGUCCAAAAUGGUAAUGAUGAUGCUUGCCAACACAAGAAGAAUGAUUAGGCAACCACUUUGUUCUGCCUACAAAUAAGGCUUCCUCCUCACUUGUAAUAUAUAGAACAUAGAUACAGAUAUGUGAAGAACUCUCUAUUCAAUAAGAGAUCAGUUUCUCUCUAUCUCAAUUCUCUCCAUUUUCUCUCUUGAUUUAUAACACGUUAUCAGCACGAAGCUCUAACCAGCUGAGUUUUCUGAUAAAAACCAGAGACCAAAAUCAACCGGAAUUCUCAGCUUCUCAAUCCCAAUCCUUGGAGGGGAAAUAUGGCUGAGCGGCAGAGCCGAAGAAAUAUCAAACACAUAAACGAGCCUGAAAAACAAAGAGAGUCUGCAGCCAGCAAUCCAAAGCAGAGAAAGAUCUCUGCUGGCGUCCUUGCCCGACUUGCCGUCCGUCACGUCAAAGACGUUGUAUUGGAUCAGCUGCUGUGCUGUUAGCUCCAUGGUUGCGUCCACACAGAUGCUAAAGGAGCAAAUGACAAGAAGCUCACAACUUGCGGGUCCUGGGCUUAGGCCAGCAGGUCAUAGUCCUAGCCCACGGCUUCGGCACCGACCAGUCGGUCUGAAAGCACCUCGUCCCCCACCGACUACAGAGUCGUCAUGUACGACAACAUGGGCGCCGGAACGACAAAGCCCGAAUACGCCGACUCGGUCACCUUCCCCACAGGCCGAGCAGAGUCCUCUGCCUUCUAAGAUCCUACCACCAAGCCUGCUUACAGCUUCAACAACCUGUCCUCUCAGUUUUUUGUGACAACAAACAGCCACCUCUUGUGAAAUGUGGUCAAGAGGGACAAUAUCCUAUCUGAUGAUGAAAGCUCAUCUUUUGGUCUGCGAAGCUUUUUAUGCACAGAAACAGGUGGACCUUGCUGGGCUUCAUGUUCUCCGGGAUGACGAAGAGCGGCGCGGAGAAGAUCAGGCCCGUCCAAGUGUCGGGCUGGGACUGGAAGUACAUGAGCAUGGUGGCAGCGCCGCCCAUGGACUCGCCGAAGAGGAAGGCAGGGAGGCGGAGGUAUAAUUCGUUGCGGCGCACGUGGAGGAAGAAGGAGAGUGAAGCUUCCUCUGACCAAUGCUCCCGAAGAAAAGCUUUUAACUCAGGAGCUACAGCCUCAUCAUCAGACCGAGCAAUACUGUCUGCAACAGCAUAAGUAGCUGCUGGAUCACCCAAGAAGUCGGAAUGGAGAAGAAAUGCAACACCAUCAAGAGAAAGACCACCACCUGUCAGAUGCGGCACAUGCGCACAUGCAACCUAAUAGUCUCCUGACCACUUGGCACAUGCGCACAUGCACACACGGUUUUGUGGCUACUAAUCUUGGUUAAACUGAAAACAGAUGCCUCCAUAUAUUUCUUUACGAUCAGAUGUGGGCCAUAUCUAUGAAUUGUUUUGUAGAUUGAUAUCUUUGAUGAUGGAUAUCGGUGGAGGAAGUAUGGUCAAAAAGUAAGCCACUAAAAGUGGUUGAAAGGCCGGUGUUGAUAUGAUGCAAGGCACUGGAAAUCUAGUAAGCAUGCCCAAAAAGUGACCCUAUGCUGGAGUAUAUUUUGAAAAGUGGGAUACACAGCAAGUUGAUCAGCCUAGUGGAAAGCAAAGGAUUAUUGCCAGGGAUAUGAACACCCACCGAAAUAAAGGGAUAAGUAUUCUGCCUCACUCUAUUUCCUUCAAUUAAAUACAUUAUUAAAAUAUCUACAGAAUUUAAUACUCAUGACCAGUGUAGAUUGCAGGUGGAAAGAAGAAAAAGCCAACGUGAUAUAUCUAGCUUUCCACUAAUAUAUCAGUAUAAUAAUAUUACACUAUUUAAUUGUGGUGUUGAUAAGAACCCACCAAUAAUUGCCUUUAUUUUUAUUUAAAAGUAUGGAGCAGAAUUAGUGCCCAUACAAGCACGUUUAAUUUACCGCACAUUUAAUUUUAUUUAAAGUAUGGUGCGGGAUUAACGUCCAUACAACAAGCAAUUUAAUUUAUGAAAUUAAUUUACCGCACAUUUACAUUUAUUUAAAAGGGUGGUGCGGGUUUAUCGUCCACGCCUUUACUUUUAUUUAAAUGUAUGGUGCGGGUUUAUCGUCCAUACCAGUAAUUUAUUUACCAGCAAUCUAUUUUAUGGAUUAAAUGUGUUGUAUGAUGAGUUUUUACAGUAAGCAGAUCAGGACCAGAAGUUCCUUGAUCCUCAUCAUACAAUUACAUCAGGACUUGAAGAUCCUUGAUGAUGAUGUUAAUAUGAGAGCUGGCAGUCUCUCCGGUACUAUAUUUGUAAACAUGUUAUUGGACUUGAGGGUCCUUGAUCCUUGACAUGUAAAUAAGGAACUCGGGUUCCUUAAUGAUGUAACAGUACCGUAUUGGUUCAUAAUGCUGUACACUUGGAUGAUAACUGUACUAGCAAAUGUACUGUACACAUAAAUAGUGCACUAUAUAUGAAUAGUGAUGUAUGCAUAAAUAUUUACCAUUUCGGGUAAACUAUCACCAUUCAAAAGGGACCUACAGUUCCUUAAACUCAUGGAUGAGCAAUUAAAUGAGAUGCCAGAAGUUCCUCAAAAUAUGGACAAUUAUGUAAGGACUUGAAGUCUAGAAAUAUGUACAGAAAAUUGUAAAAAUGUCCAUACCAUGAGAAUAUGUGAUUUUGGCCCGAAUUUCAAAAUCUAAGGGGAUUGAAUGUCCAUACCAUAAGAAUAUGUGAUUUUUGGCCUAAAAUUCAAAAUCUAACAGUGUUGAGAACCUGAAGUUCCAACAAUUAAAUGGACAACCCUUGAGGUAUUAUUGCAAAUUGUGGUACGCCACAUAUCUCUUUGGCAUAAGAGAAUGAUGAAUUGAGGCUCCCCACAUAUUUUGUUAUAUCUGGGCCGGAAGCUCAUGAACCCAAAUAUAUGAGAUAUUAGCGUGGCUUUUACUCAAUUCAUAUUUCAUGUCCAUUUUGAAAAGGGCAAAUAAAUUCUGAGUUUUGUGUUUAGCCCAGGCCAAAAAGUUCUGGGCUCCCAUACGUUGAAAUAUGAAAUUUGGGAGAGUCGAUGUGGUUAUUUGAACCUAUAAGGCACAAGGUUCCAAACCGUCAUUUUGAAAAGACGUAAAAACCACAGGUGCAAAUUUUAAGAAUGUGCGCAAUUAUUAUAACAGGAAAGGAGCAAGUUGAAACGCAGUUGCUCCAAUCAAGUUUUGCAAAGGCAAUAUCUAUAGGAAGAAAUAUGGCUACAGUUUCCAGGAUCCCAAUAUUAUCUCAGAUGCCCAUAUUAUCUUUUUCUUUCCCAGAUUCCAAAACUUCACGUGGCCUCCAUUAAAUGUUUGUCGGCACUUUCGGCGUUUUCAAAGUUUUAUUUUCAUCAAAAACCGAUCUUGCUUUACGGAUUUCACGGAGCUACUUUUUCAAAAGUACCCCGAGAAUCUCGCAAUUUUCUUAUGGUUAAUUUGAAAUUCACCGGUUCUACCUAUUCAUUAUAUUUGUGUAUAAAUGUGUUACUAACGAAAUUUUCUUUGCAGAAGACAUCUAGUUUUUCUCCAUACCUAGUGAUGCGAUACCUACUUGUUUUUCUAAUCAGUGAGCACUUAAUAUGCCCGAGAAGCAAGACUAUCUCUGAUCAUCCAUUCAGGAAGCGAGACUAUCCCUGAUCACGUUUCCGCUACAUCAGGAAACUGUGAAGGCGAUCUUAUGCUCUAAUCUCUGGAAGUCCUUCUAGACUAGGAGAUAUGAGAGCUUAUUGUCUGCUCCCACCAGCUUCCUUCCCUGAUUGCUUACCUUCUUUUUUUGCAUUUUUUCUCUUUCUGUAACUCUCUGAGGAUUAUUUGUUUUUGACAGAGAAAAGAGUUGUGAUUUUACUAUUGCAGGAUAUAACUAGAUCAUCAAGCGCUACAUUUACUGGGCCGAUACAAGCUUGAAUGAUACUUGAGAAAAGUUUCUCCCACCUAAGGAUGUAAGCAAUACUUGUGUUAUUUUUUGCUUAUAUACUUAUUUGAUAUUUUAUCUUGAAAGGUAACUAAAUGGGAAGAUAAGUCCGUUCCAAAAGAAUGGCUUGUAUGUAUCCAUGAAUUAUUAAUGCAAAUUUCACAGAUUGCAAGUUGGAUACAUUGAUAAUACACUGCAUAGAUUAAUGUACCAUAAGAACAGAAUAUGGGUAUAGCAGUGAUCAAUAUGAUGCACGCCUGUUGCGUAGCAAAUGAUAUGGAUUGAAGUCCCGAAAGAACAAUCCUUUGACAUGUCAAUAUUGAUAUUAUGCACGCCUAAUGCGUAGCAAAUUAUAUGGGUUAAAGUCCCAUAAUAUGGGUUAAAGUCCCAGAAAUUAAUUGACAUGUAUGUAUUAAUCUGUGGCAUGCCUGCAGCAUGACAGAUAUAUGGGUUCUAAAUGUUCCAACUCUCUAAACAGAGAUUAUCCACGCCCUACUGUAAAAUAACGCUCCAUUGGAGGUUAUAAUCCACAUUCUCACAUAAUAAAAGCCCCAUGAAGUGGCUUGGGUACCCAAAAGCAAAGAAAUGCUUAUAAUUAAUGCAUGCGCAUGCACAUGAGAAUGGUGAGAUCAUGAAUUGAUGAAUGACAAUUUUUGGUUUUGGAGUAGCUACUCAAAUCAUCAAUGGGCUGUGUUGAUUGGAACCACGUUCAAUUAUUAAAUGUCGACAAUAUUAUUGGCCAAAAUGGAAUGAUGUAAUUCCAUUAUAGAUGAGAAUGAACGUGAAAGAACAAACCCACAGUACGAACCCCAAAAGAUGUUAAUACUGAAACUUAUACUUGGGUGUUCGGAAUAAAAGGGAAUAUACCUACUUUGUAUGACACAAUGUUUCUGGCAGAAACAAGGAAUGUUGGGUUUUCUCCAUAUUUACAGAUUCAAUUGUGCCCCCCCCUUAUUACACAAUUACGAAGACCAACAUAUUAUCUUUAGGGGUUAUUAAAUGCACGGAGCAUAUCGCUAGAAGCGAUUUCCUAAAGAUGUAUAAAUAGCUGGGUUAAAGCUAUAUAAUGUGUCAUAAAGUUUAAUCCCUUUUAAACAAAAUCCGUUGAGAGGAUUGACAUUGCAUAAAGCAAGUCCCUAAAGGACAUGUGCUUGAAGCACAAAAUUUGUACUCAAUAUUAAUAUGCAUAAAUUACCUCAGUGAGUACAUUGAUUAUAAUGUGAUUGCAACACAUUAAAACUUCUGCAGAAUUCACGAAAUAUUUGUCUCGAUCGAGCAUUAUGCCAACGAGAUUCUUGCUUAUACUAAGAAAGUAUUGAAGCAUUUUUAUGAGUCUUAUCCGUUGGUCCUUAAAUGUUUUUCCGGAAGUAUACUAGACCAGAUAGAGCUCAGCUCCACACUGUACUCUUUUUCCUUCAUCCAGGUUUUUAUCCCACUGGGUUUUUCCUGGUAAGGUUUUAACGAGGCAGUGUCGCUCAAGAUUGACUCACAGAAGCAGUCUCAACUACGAUAUUCAGAAAGGUGAUCAACAGUAUGACUUAAAGAUAUUUUGCCAAGCAUCAGGGGGAGCGUGCUAUCAUUAAAGAUCUUCAAACACUGUACUCUUUUUCCUUCGUACAGGUUUUUAUCCCACUGGAUUUUUCCUGGCAAGGUUUUAACGAGGCAGUGUCGCACGCGCGUCAAUAUACAUAGAAUUUUAUGUUACACAUAAUUAUGUACUCUUUUUCCUUUGACCAGUUUUUUUUUUUUGUCCCACUGGGUUUUUACUGGCAAGGUUUUUAACGAGGCAUAUUACAUAUCAUUUGUGGUCUCCAAGGGGGAGUGUUGUAAAAUAAAGAAGGUGGAGUCCAAAAUGAUGCUUACCUAUAAAGCUUCCCCCCCACUUGUAUUGGUAGGGAGAAGGUGGAGUCCAAAAUGGUAAUGAUGAUGCUUGCCAACACAAGAAGAAUGAUUAGGCAACCACUUUGUUCUGCCUACAAAUAAGGCUUCCUC